This 312-nucleotide ribosomal RNA is filed under the name uncultured bacterium. RNAcentral describes it as "partial 16S ribosomal RNA". It matches the Rfam family "Bacterial small subunit ribosomal RNA", at positions 355 to 660 of the family's 1533-position model. The record is from RNAcentral.
UAGGGAAUCUUCCACAAUGGACGCAAGUCUGAUGGAGCAACGCCGCGUGAGUGAAGGAGGUUUUCGGACCGUAAAGCUCUGUUGUUGGUGAAGAAGGAUAGAGGUAGUAACUGGCCUUUAUUUGACGGUAAUCAACCAGAAAGUCACGGCUAACUACGUGCCAGCAGCCGCGGUAAUACGUAGGUGGCAAGCGUUGUCCGGAUUUAUUGGGCGUAAAGCGAGCGCAGGCGGAAGAAUAAGUCUGAUGUGAAAGCCCUCGGCUUAACCGAGGAAUUGCAUCGGAAACUGUUUUCUUGAGUGCAGAAGAGGAGA